UGCAAGCAAAUACAAUUAAUUUUAUUUUGAAUUUGUAAGCAAAUACAAAUAAUUUUAUCAAAAAUUACAUAUAAUUACGUCAUAAUAUAAUUAAGCCGGUGAUAACGCUUUUGAAACAGACACACAAUGAGCCCAUACUUCAUCUCUUUUCUGUAAAUAUUUGGAUUCGUUUCCAAUUAAACUAGGUCUUUCCGCGAUAUAUUUGACAAGGGUGUCAUGACACUCUUUUCCUUCUUUUACAAGCUCCUGGCAACAAGGAAUGGAUACAACUCCACUACCAAAAACUUGAGAAAUUAUAUUGAGCGCACACUUUGGACUGAUUUUAACAACACAUUGAUUCCAUAACUUUUUGGGCUCAUUUUCCUCUACAGCUAAUGAAGGAAUACAUGUACUCGCCACAACUAGAAUAACAAAAGACACCAUAAUAACGUUAAGCUUGGCCAUGGUUUUUUUGGCUAUAGGGAGAGUUAAUGUUUAAUUAUUCUCAGGUUAGAAAUAAGAAAAUUGCUUUUAAAUUUAUGAUCUGAUUUGAAUAAACGAUGAUAACCCUAUUUAUAGAUAUGAAUAAUCUAUAUUAAACAUAUUUUGGUGAAAAAUAACUUUGCUUUUGACAGUUUUUAGUUCAUUAAUUUUUUUAAGUUACAUUUUUCUUGAUGAAGUUAUUAACUGUUUAGGUUUAUCAUUUAUAUAAAAUAAUCAUUAUAAAAAAAAUUAAAUUAGAAUUCUUGUAAUAUAGAAAUAAACAUACAAAAAGAAGUUAUACAAGUAUUUAAAUUCCAAUUAAUAAUAUACUGAAUAGUGUUGUUGUCAUCAACAUAUAUUUUGGUGGUUGUAUAUCAACUUACUAUCAAAAACCAAAAGUACAGUCUAACAUGUGAUCAGUCUCAAAAAUGAUUCUAAUAUUAAUAUCUGAGUAUUUAUCAACGUAUAUCACUCCGAGGUUAAAAAGAGUUUCAGAUUUUAUAUUUUCUUUUUGUUCCGUGAUGUAGCACUCCCGUCAAUAAUUUUAUCUUUUUCAUUUUAUAAUUUCUUUAUUGAGAGAGAUUGUUAUGAGGUAAACAUGACUCCAUCGGGAUAAAAUUUUACAAAUUUCAAUUCUUUAUCCAAAAUAAUAUGUAAAAUCUAUAUAAUAAUAUGUUUUAUAAAAACAAAAUAAAAAAUGAAAAGAUGUUUCAAAGUUAAGCUUGCGAUAUUAGAUUUUAUGAGUUUAUGACUUACAUAAAAUUUUAAUUACUCGAUGUAUUUCGCAAGAAAAGUUAAUAUUAGACAUAUUAAUAACAUAAAUAAACAUACAUAAAUUAAUGAAUUAAAAUAUAUAUUUCUGAAUGAGAUACUUUAGUAAAAAAUGGACCUUUUUAAAAUGCUUUAUUGUACUGUUUUGAGUUUGUAUUUGGUUCGUUUUUCAAAUCAUACUUCAGAAUAUAAUUUGCUGAAUUAAAAAAACAUAUGUAAAUAUUUUUUAAACUCUAAAAAUUAAUCUGGAAAACGUUGUGCGGCCAAUAGCAAGAUAUAUUUUAAGUGUAAUAAGUCUGUUGCGAUCUUAUGGAGCCGUGAAAGACUAGAGUCUUGUGCUUACAAAUAAAAUCUGUUUUUUGAUAUUUUCCUAUUUAAACUAAUUAAAAUUGUGAGUUCAUAAAAAAAUUUAAAUAAUUUUUUAUUUAUUUUGAAAUAUACCUCUUUAUUUGCUAUUCGAAAAGAAUAAAAUAAUGCUAAAGAAAACAUGCAACACAAGACGGUAAAUAAUAAAUGUCACAUGUAUAUAUAAAUGAUUUUAUUUUGAACUUGCAAGCAAAUACAAUUAAUUUUAUUUUGAAUUUGUAAGCAAAUACAAAUAAUUUUAUCAAAAAUUACAUAUAAUUACGUCAUAAUAUAAUUAAGCCGGUGAUAACGCUUUUGAAACAGACACACAAUGAGCCCAUACUUCAUCUCUUUUCUGUAAAUAUUUGGAUUCGUUUCCAAUUAAACUAGGUCUUUCCGCGAUAUAUUUGACAAGGGUGUCAUGACACUCUUUUCCUUCUUUUACAAGCUCCUGGCAACAAGGAAUGGAUACAACUCCACUACCAAAAACUUGAGAAAUGAUAUUGAGCGCACACUUUGGACUGAUUUUAACAACACAUUGAUUCCAUAACUUUUUGGGCUCAUUUUCCUCUACAGCUAAUGAAGGAAUACAUGUACUCGCCACAACUAGAAUAACAAAAGACACCAUAAUAACGUUAAGCUUGGCCAUGGUUUUUUUGGCUAUAGGGAGAGCUAAUGUUUAAUUAUUCUCAGGUUAGAAAU
This 2280-nucleotide long non-coding RNA is filed under the name Brassica napus (rape). Its description in RNAcentral is "long non-coding RNA (BNAP_LNC026330)". The record is from RNAcentral. Lineage: Eukaryota; Viridiplantae; Streptophyta; Magnoliopsida; Brassicales; Brassicaceae.